CCUACGGGUGGCAGCAGUGGGGAAUAUUGCACAAUGGGCGCAACCCUGAUCCAGCAACGCCGCGUGAAUGAUGACUGCCCUAGGGGUUUAAAACUCUGUCUUCAGAGGCGUUAAGGACGGUACCUGAGGAUGAAGCCACGGCUAACUUCGUGCCAGCAGCCGCGGUAAUACGGAGGUUGCGAGCGUUGUCCGGAUUUACUGGGCGUAAAGGGAGCGUAGGCGGGUUUUUAAGUGAGAUGUGAAGUACUCCGGCUCAACCUGAGUGCUGCAUUUGAAACUGGAAGUCUAGAGUGCAGGAGAGGAGAAUGGAAUUCCUAGUGUAGCGGUGAAAUGCGUAGAGAUUAGGAAGAACACCAGUGGCGAAGGCGAUUUUCUGGACUGCAACUGACGCUGAUGCUCGAAAGUGUGGGGAGCAAACAGGAUUAGAUACCCGAGUAGUC
RNAcentral lists this ribosomal RNA (440 nucleotides) under uncultured bacterium. RNAcentral describes it as "partial 16S ribosomal RNA". It matches the Rfam family "Bacterial small subunit ribosomal RNA", at positions 338 to 795 of the family's 1533-position model. The record is from RNAcentral.